AUGGCCGGCGCCGGCGAGGAGUUCAUGGCGUCGGCGGCGGGGGUGUGGGCGGAGCUGCCGGUGCGGGUGGACUGGGCGGCCGUGGCGGCGCAAUGCGCGUGGGCUGGCGCGCAGGCGCGUGCGUUCCUGGUGGUGCCGGCCAUCCGGCUGCUGCUGGUCCUGUCGCUGACCAUGACGGUGAUGAUCCUGCUCGAGAAGAUCUUCGUCGCCGCCGUCUGCUUCGCGGCCAAGGCCUUCGGGCACAAGCCGGAGCGCCGGUACCAGUGGCGGCCGAUCGCCGCGUCGGCCUGCAAAACGGGCGGCGUCGACGAGGAGGCCAGCGUCGGCGGCGGAAGCUCGGCGUUCCCCGUGGUGCUGGUGCAGAUCCCCAUGUACAACGAGCGCGAGGUGUACAAGCUGUCGAUCGGGGCGGCAUGUGCGCUGGAGUGGCCGUCGGACCGCGUGGUGAUCCAGGUGCUGGACGACUCCACGGACCCCGCUGUAAAGGACCUAGUGGAGAUCGAGUGCCAGAGGUGGAAAGGCAAGGGGGUGAACAUCAAGUACGAGGUGAGAGGGAACCGGAAGGGGUACAAGGCCGGCGCGCUCAAGGAGGGGCUGAAGCACGACUACGUGCAGGAGUGCGAGUUCAUCGCCAUGUUCGACGCCGAUUUCCAGCCCGAGUCCGACUUCCUCCUGCGCACCGUCCCCUUCCUCGUGCACAACCCUGACAUCGCCCUCGUCCAGACCCGCUGGAAGUUCGUUAAUUCGGAUGAGUGUUUGCUGACAAGAUUCCAGGAAAUGUCACUAGACUACCAUUUCAAGUUUGAGCAGGAGGCCGGGUCCAUAGUCUACUCGUUUUUCGGCUUCAACGGGACGGCCGGUGUCUGGAGGAUAUCGGCGAUCGACGAUGCCGGUGGGUGGAAGGACAGGACGACGGUGGAGGACAUGGACCUGGCUGUUCGCACGGCGCUGAAGGGCUGGAAGUUCGUGUAUGUUGGCGCCGUAAAAGUCAGGAGUGAGCUGCCAAGCACAUUCAAGGCGUACCGAUUCCAGCAGCACAGGUGGUCGUGUGGACCUGCAAACCUGUUCAAGAAAAUGUUGGUAGAGAUUCUAGAGAACAAGAAAGUGUCAUUUUGGAGCAAGCUCCACCUCUUGUACGAUUUCUUCUUCGUUGGGAAGAUUGCUGCCCAUACGGUGACGUUCAUCUACUACUGCUUCGCGAUCCCGUUGUCCGUUUUCUUCCCUGAGAUUCAGAUUCCUCUCUGGGGCGUGGUCUACGUUCCAACUGUUAUCACCCUCUGCAAGGCUCUUGGAUCACCAAGUUCAUUUCAUCUGGUGAUCCUCUGGGUCCUCUUUGAGAAUGUGAUGUCGUUGCACCGGAUAAAAGCGGCGGUAACCGGUCUUCUAGAUGCCGGACGAGUCAAUGAGUGGGUUGUCACUGAGAAAUUGGGAGAUGCCAACAAGACCAAGCCAGCCAUGGAAGCAUUAGAUGCUGUGAAAGUGAUAGAUGUUGAGCUAGCGACGCCCCUAGUGCCAAAGCUCAAGAAGAGGAGAAUAAAAUUAUGGGACAAGUACAACUGCUCAGAGAUUUUUGUUGGAACCUCCAUAAUUAUAUGUGGUUUCUACGAUUUGUUUUAUGCAAACAAAGGGUACUACAUCUACCUCUUCAUUCAAGGCCUAGCAUUCCUCGUUGUCGGUUUUGAGUAUAUCGGCACACGCCCUCCCACUCCCAGCGCCGAAUAA
Molecule: ribosomal RNA, 1722 nt
Filed under: Triticum aestivum (bread wheat)
Lineage: Eukaryota; Viridiplantae; Streptophyta; Magnoliopsida; Poales; Poaceae
Description: partial small subunit ribosomal RNA
Source: RNAcentral